Molecule: ribosomal RNA, 881 nt
Filed under: Limosilactobacillus fermentum
Lineage: Bacteria; Bacillati; Bacillota; Bacilli; Lactobacillales; Lactobacillaceae
Description: bacterial SSU rRNA
Rfam family: Bacterial small subunit ribosomal RNA
Source: RNAcentral
GCAAGUCGAACGCGUUGGCCCAAUUGAUUGAUGGUGCUUGCACCUGAUUGAUUUUGGUCGCCAACGAGUGGCGGACGGGUGAGUAACACGUAGGUAACCUGCCCAGAAGCGGGGGACAACAUUUGGAAACAGAUGCUAAUACCGCAUAACAACGUUGUUCGCAUGAACAACGCUUAAAAGAUGGCUUCUCGCUAUCACUUCUGGAUGGACCUGCGGUGCAUUAGCUUGUUGGUGGGGUAAUGGCCUACCAAGGCGAUGAUGCAUAGCCGAGUUGAGAGACUGAUCGGCCACAAUGGGACUGAGACACGGCCCAUACUCCUACGGGAGGCAGCAGUAGGGAAUCUUCCACAAUGGGCGCAAGCCUGAUGGAGCAACACCGCGUGAGUGAAGAAGGGUUUCGGCUCGUAAAGCUCUGUUGUUAAAGAAGAACACGUAUGAGAGUAACUGUUCAUACGUUGACGGUAUUUAACCAGAAAGUCACGGCUAACUACGUGCCAGCAGCCGCGGUAAUACGUAGGUGGCAAGCGUUAUCCGGAUUUAUUGGGCGUAAAGAGAGUGCAGGCGGUUUUCUAAGUCUGAUGUGAAAGCCUUCGGCUUAACCGGAGAAGUGCAUCGGAAACUGGAUAACUUGAGUGCAGAAGAGGGUAGUGGAACUCCAUGUGUAGCGGUGGAAUGCGUAGAUAUAUGGAAGAACACCAGUGGCGAAUGCGGCUACCUGGUCUGCAACUGACGCUGAGACUCGAAAGCAUGGGUAGCGAACAGGAUUAGAUACCCUGGUAGUCCAUGCCGUAUACGAUGAGUGCUAGGUGUUGGAGGGUUUCCGCGCUUCAGUGCCGGAGCUAACGCAUUAAGCACUCCGCCUGGGGAGUACGACCGCAAGG